This 465-nucleotide ribosomal RNA is filed under the name uncultured bacterium. RNAcentral describes it as "partial 16S ribosomal RNA". It matches the Rfam family "Bacterial small subunit ribosomal RNA", at positions 28 to 507 of the family's 1533-position model. The record is from RNAcentral.
GACGAACGCUGGCGGCGUGCUUAACACAUGCAAGUCGAACGGAAAGGCCCCUUUGGGGGUACUCGAGUGGCGAACGGGUGAGUAAUACAUGGGUAACCUGCCCUUGACUUGGGGAUAACCUCAGGAAACUGGGGCUAAUACCCGAUAGGAAUCCUGGUUGCAUGGGGGGGGUUGGCAAGAUUCGUCGGCUUUGGAUGGACUCGCGGCCUAUCAGCUUGUUGGUGGGGUGGUGGCUUACCAAGCCACUGACGGGUAGACGGCCUGUGAGGGCGACCGGCCACAUUGGGACUGAGAGGCGGCCCAGACUCCUACGGGAGGAAGCAGUGGGGAAUAUUGCACCAGGGGCGGAAGCCUGAUGCAGCAAGGCCGCGUGCGGGAUGACGGCCUUCGGGUUGUAAACCGCUUUCAGCAGGGGCGAAGCUUGUGGUGACGGUACCUGCAGAAGAAGCACCGGCUAACUACGUG